GUAGUACUCCCUCCGUCCGAAAGAGCUUGUCCCAAGAUUGUUCCUCAAAUGGAUGUAUCUAGCAACUUGCUGCUAGAUACAUCCAUUUGAGGGACAACCUUUUUCUGACGGAGGGAGUAUAAG
Triticum aestivum (bread wheat) is the source of this 123-nucleotide non-coding RNA. The record is from Rfam. Lineage: Eukaryota; Viridiplantae; Streptophyta; Magnoliopsida; Poales; Poaceae.